UGCAUUAUGAGCUGUUGCUGCUACCACCUGCUUCCUACAUGCGCAGACUCAGUGAACUUGGAUGUACAGCUGAUAGAAAAUGCUUAAUCUCAAAAAUCUUUUAUUGCUGAGCAAGAUGCCAAUAUGGUAUGGGGUAGCAAUAACUAAAACAUCCCUGCGUUAUCAGCACUGUUUCCUGCACAGAUCCAAAACCUAGCCCUAUUCUGGCUACUAUGAAGAAAAUUAACUCUACAUGAGCCAAAACCAGCACAGUCCUAUUUUCUAACUGUUCAAUCAUCCUCAUUGCCCUUCUCUGGACUCUUCCAAACAAUCCAUAAAAAUCUGUAACUGCAGGGGCUAUAAAUGAGCAUGUUACUCCAGCUCAGGCUUUCUCCUUCUGAAGAUGGAAGAGUGCUUUCUUAGGGUGAAGAAGUGCACUGACUAGGAAAAAAAAGAAAGUGUGUGAAGAUACUGUGUGAUCUGCUUUCUCUGGAAAAACAUAUAUGGCUUGAGCCUUGGAGAAAAUUAUCUGCUUGAUUUUGGUGGAGGCUGGAACUGAUCUGUGCUGCCUUUUUGCAGUGGGUGAAUCUGGGCAGC
Molecule: long non-coding RNA, 576 nt
Organism: Pezoporus flaviventris
Lineage: Eukaryota; Metazoa; Chordata; Aves; Psittaciformes; Psittacidae
Exons: 4
Source: RefSeq, a predicted model, not a curated record